This 460-nucleotide ribosomal RNA is filed under the name uncultured bacterium. Its description in RNAcentral is "partial 16S ribosomal RNA". It matches the Rfam family "Bacterial small subunit ribosomal RNA", at positions 338 to 795 of the family's 1533-position model. The record is from RNAcentral.
CCUACGGGCGGCAGCAGUGAGGAAUAUUGGUCAAUGGACGAGAGUCUGAACCAGCCAAGUAGCGUGAAGGAUGACUGCCCUAUGGGUUGUAAACUUCUUUUAUAUGGGAAUAAAAUGUUCCACGUGUGGGAUUUUGUAUGUACCAUAUGAAUAAGGAUCGGCUAACUCCGUGCCAGCAGCCGCGGUAAUACGGAGGAUCCGAGCGUUAUCCGGAUUUAUUGGGUUUAAAGGGAGAGUAGGUGGAUUGUUAAGUCAGUUGUGAAAGUUUGCGGCUCAACCGUAAAAUUGCAGUUGAAACUGGCAGUCUUGAGUACAGUAGAGGUGGGCGGAAUUCGUGGUGUAGCGGUGAAAUGCUUAGAUAUCACGAAGAACUCCGAUUGCGAAGGCAGUUCACUGGACUGCAACUGACACUGAGGCUCGAAAGUGUGGGUAUCAAACAGGAUUAGAUACCCGUGUAGUC